Molecule: non-coding RNA, 151 nt
Filed under: Corynebacterium mustelae
Lineage: Bacteria; Bacillati; Actinomycetota; Actinomycetes; Mycobacteriales; Corynebacteriaceae
Description: TPP sequence
Rfam family: TPP riboswitch aptamer (THI element)
About the family: Vitamin B(1) in its active form thiamin pyrophosphate (TPP) is an essential coenzyme that is synthesised by coupling of pyrimidine and thiazole moieties in bacteria.
Source: Rfam by way of RNAcentral
AAACGUAUGCACGAGUGCUCACCCGCUUCUUUAAACCACUAUUUAAGGUGAGCUGAGACAACGCCAGUUUGAUUAUGAAGAACGCGGUGCGUUGAAUCGUCAGAACCUGAUCCGGUUAAUACCGGCGCUAGGGAGAAAACACAUGAGUACU